Molecule: long non-coding RNA, 1353 nt
Filed under: Arachis ipaensis
Lineage: Eukaryota; Viridiplantae; Streptophyta; Magnoliopsida; Fabales; Fabaceae
Description: long non-coding RNA (AIPA_LNC001303)
Source: RNAcentral
CAGUAUCAAAUGUUUAUUUGGAGUACUGUUUGCUUAAGUCUAAAACUGUUUUAUGCAGCACGCACCACACAAAGUUAGAAUGGAAGUAUAUAAAUGAAGAACCAAAUUAUAAUGCAAAGAUUGGCUUUGCAAAGUUUAUAGCAACAGCAAUAUUUCAUCCGUUUGAGAUGAAGUGAUUUUUGAAGUUUAAAAUCUAGUGAGUAUGGGUUCAACUAGAAACCAAAUUAGUUGAGAAGAACUCUAGUGUCUCACAAUUGAUUCCAAAGGGGCCAAAUACAAAUCAAAGUAUAAAGGAAAAUUCACACUAGAGAGCUUCAACAUAGUUUGGAUUAUUGUGUAGCCAGUUAAAUUUAUACAUAUAACAUGGUAGAUUGGUAUUUACCCAUAUGUAAAUGGAGGACUCUUGGAUCAAAAAUCAACAAGCAUUAUCUACUCAGAUGUUAAUUCCUACUAACUCACAACUAAUUUGGGUUAAUCAACUCCUAAACGAAAACAAGCAACGGAACCAACAGCUCAUUGCAGAACAAUUCAGUACAGAUAUUGCACAGAAUAUUUUACAAACUGAAAUUGGGGAAGGGGAUGAUUCAGUUACCUGGCCAAGGGAGAAAAAGGGUUGCUACACCGUGGCUUCAGGAUAUUUACUGGCACACUAGUUCUACCACCCUCCACUCGAGCUGAUGCCACUCCACUGCCAGCAGAAGAAGCUCUGGACUUCUAUUUGGGACCUGAAAGUGCAACCGAAAAUAAGAAUCUUCCUCUGGAAAGUAAUGCAUUGCCAGUGAACCAACAACUCCAUGGAAGAAUCAGAACAAUACCCCCAACCUGUCGAAGAUGUACCGCGAUGGAAGAAACAGUCCAACACUGCAUAAUUAGCUGUGGUCAGUCAUGGUCCACUUGGCUCAGAUCCAAAAUUGGAGUCCCUGGAAGUCAAACGGACCAAGAAGUAUGGCAACGGUGGAUGGAGUUAACUGAGAAGUUGAAAAGAAGCAGAAAUGGCGUGAAGAAAUUGAGAGAAGCUGCAAACCUGAUGUGGGAGAUAUAGAAGGCUCGCAACAGAUUCAUGUUUGACGGUGAAGAGUUCGAUGAGGCUUGUGUCCUUGAACGAGCCAGAAGGAGUGAAUCAGAGUUCCAAGCGUGCUUGCUCGACUGAGGAAUGCGAAGAAGAUUAGAAAUGUCUGAAGAAGAAGUUUUCACUUUACUCUUUCCUUCCCUUUCAAUGUUGUUUCCUGAUUUAGAUAAGUUUCGUUGGGAAAUCUCUCUUUUAGUCUUGUAAGUGGUCCAUCGUGGACCCAAAUCCUAAUUUUCAGGAAAUGAAAUUCUACCUUUGAGAAAAAAAAAACAAGGAUGAAAGCC